This 504-nucleotide ribosomal RNA is filed under the name Aquicella lusitana. The record is from RNAcentral. Lineage: Bacteria; Pseudomonadati; Pseudomonadota; Gammaproteobacteria; Legionellales; Coxiellaceae.
CCUGGCGACCAGAGCAAGUGGGUACCACCUGAUCCCAUCCCGAACUCAGAAGUGAAACCAUUUAGCGCCUAUGAUAGUGUGGUUUUAACUACGCAAAAGUCGGUCAUCGCCAGGCUCUAAUUCGAAAAAACCCCGGCUGAUUAACUCAACCGGGGUUUUUUGUUUUAUGGGUCCACCGCUGCCAAAGUUUAUCGCCUGGCGGACACGCCUGCCAUAUAAAAACCUGUCAUCGCUGUAAUGGUUUGAUCUUUAUCUGGACUUGACCAUUUUUGAAAAGCAUUCACAAAACUGUCAUCCUGAGCGAAGCGAAGGAUCUCCUUUUGUUAUCGGGAGAUCCUUCGAGCAAAAAAUGCUCUCAGGAUGACAGCAUUAUUGAGUAUUUUGUAAAUUGCCCAAAGCCCAGUUUAUGAGAUGUUAUUACAAUGCUUCCCAACAACCAGCGCCGAAAAACCUGGAUUGCUUCCGUUACGCUCGCAAUGAAGUUCAACCGGCCGUCUAAUCUAU